Molecule: RNA transcript, 5341 nt
Organism: Ananas comosus (pineapple)
Lineage: Eukaryota; Viridiplantae; Streptophyta; Magnoliopsida; Poales; Bromeliaceae
Gene name: protein transport protein SEC16B homolog
Exons: 14
Source: RefSeq, a predicted model, not a curated record
CAUCAAGGGGCGGUGCGUUGUCGGCUGUUUCGCGAGCAAGGGUUUCGUCUCCUCCUCUCGACCUCCUCCUCUGAUCCCAAUCCCUUCCUCCCCCCCGAUCGCCCGAUUCCCUUCCUCCUCCGCCGGUAAGUCUCCGAAUCCUCGCGAUUGGAUCCUUUUUCCGCUAGAUUCCACAAAAAUUUGAGGUUUUUCCCGUCGAUUUUGGCCUCGGAUUCGUCGGGUUCGGUCCGGGGGUCGGGAAACCCUAGAUCUCGCGCGCUCUCCGUGUUUUGAUCCGUUUUUCGGUUUGGAAAAGGGUGGAUUUUGCGAUUGGAGCGGGGAUCUGGGGUGGUUUCGAUCGGAUCUGGGGGGAGUCACUGGGGAUCAGCUCGAUUUGGUGGUGGAUUUGAUGGAUUGAUCCGUUGUGGUUUGAAUUGGGGCAAGGGGUUGGCUUUUGCGUUUAGGAAGGGGGCGGAGAGGAGAUUAGGUUAGAGCUUGUUGGCGGAGUCGGUUUUGGUGUCGGAUUUGAUGGUGUCACCUUCUCCUCCUCCUCCGCCGCCGCCGCCGCCACCGCCGGCGGCGGUGGAGGAUCAGACGGAUGAGGAUUUCUUUGACAAGCUCGUGAUCGACGACGACGAGUUUGGCGUCGAGGGAUCUCAUGCCGUAUCGAAGGAUAUGGCUAGGGAUUUCUCCAAUCUCAGCCUCGGCAACAUCGGAGCCUCUUUGGAUGAUUUGGGUGAUUCGGGUUUCCCUUCAGAAAUCAAACCCACAAAGGAAAACAAUGGCCUUCCUCCUGCCUCGGAUCCACCCAAAGAUGAUGGUGUUCUGAAACACGAGGAAAGUGGCCCCUUUGGUUCACAGGAGAGCAUCGGAGAGGUUGCAUCGCCGGGCUCGGUGGUUGUGAAGGGUGACGGAUCCAAGGGGACCAGCGUGAAGGAGGUCCAGUGGAGUGCUUUCUCGUCCGAUACACAGCCCUUUGGUCAAGGGGGCUUCGGAUCCUAUUCAGAUUUUCUGAAAGAAGAUGGUUCUUCGGAAAAUUUCAAAAGUGAUACCAACGUCAACGGCAGUUUUGUUGAAAACCCAGUUGAGAAUCAAAAUCUUUAUGGUGGUUACUAUGAUCAGCAAGAAACACAAUAUUACGGGUCGACUAAUGAGCAGGUGCCUGAUGCAAAUGAUGCACAGUAUUGGGAGAAUCUUUACCCUGGAUGGAAGUAUGAUGCAAGCACUGGACAGUGGUAUCAAGUGGAUAGCAUCGAUACUACUACUGCUGCUGCUGCUGCUUCCACGAAUACCCAGUGGGACAACUAUACUGCUACAAGCAUGGAUUCCCAGGUGUAUGGUCAAAAUUCUACUGCUACUACUGCUGCUCCUGCUGCUCCUGCUAAUGAAUCUUUUGAAAUGAAAUCAGAUGUUUCUUAUCUUCAACAAACAACUCAAUCCGUUUUAGAUACCAUUGCAGAAGAGAGUACCACGAAUAGUAUUACUAAUUUGAAUCAGGAGUAUCAGGCCAGCACAGAAUACCCACCGAAUAUGGUUUUUGAUCCUCAGUACCCAGGAUGGUAUUAUGAUACAAACACACAACAGUGGUACACUCUGGAAUCAUACAUGCAGACCACACAGGUGACAUCUAGUACAGUUCAGGACCAGGUGAAUCAAGACUAUAGUGCUUCAGCUGGCUUCGGAGAACAGCAUCAGAACCAAAAUUAUGCUGUAGUAGGUCAAUUGGAGCAAAGCACUAUUCAGGGUACAGGUAACCAAGAGUUUGGAGGGGAUUGGAAUAACUAUAAUCAGCAGACAAUGUGGCAGCCUGAAGCAGCUGGCAAUAAUAAUACUGAAAGUUUGUCAGGAAAUCAGCUUUCUAGGAGUUUCUAUGGUUCUAUGGGGAAUUCAGUAGGUCAGACAAACCAACAAGUGAGUUUCAAAACUUUCGAACCUGUUACAACUCAUAAUUACGGAAGCACUAAUGGUGUGGCUAGUUCUCAGAGCUUUGUUCCUUCAGAAAGCAUGUACCAGUUCAAUCAGCCAAAGCUGGAGCAGAAUCAGCAAGCUUAUUUAUCAAACAGUUACUAUGGCAAUCAGAAUUCUAUGAACUUCUCUCAGCAAUCAUUUCAAAAUGCGGAUCCAUCCUAUUCUCAGUUCUCUUAUAUACCUCAUGAAGGGAGGUCGUCUGCUGGACGCCCAGCGCAUGCUUUAGUUGCUUUUGGAUUUGGUGGUAAACUCAUAGUGAUGAAAGAUGCGAGCUCUUUUAGCACAAAGCUGGACUAUGGAAACCAGGGUACUUCUGGUGGUACGGUCUCAAUACAUAGCUUAUCAGAGAUUGUGAUGAAUAAAACUGAUGCUUCUAGCUUUAUAAGUGGGGGUGCCUUCGGUUAUUUCCAAGCUUUAUGCCAGCAAUCCUUUCCUGGUCCACUUGUUGGUGGGAACGCUGCAACAAAGGACGUCAACAAAUGGCUUGAUGAGAGGAUCAUGAGCUGCGAAUCUAUCAGCACAGAUGUCCAAAAAGGAGAAUUUUUAAGGCUGCUUCUUUCUUUGCUUAAAAUAUCAUGUCAGCAUUAUGGAAAACUUCGAUCUCCUUUUGGGUCUGGUCCGUCAGUAGAGGAAAAUGAUGGUCCAGAAAUGGCAAUAACUAGGCUCUUUGCAUCUGCUAAGAAAGCCAGUGCUCAUCUCAAUGAUUACGGCUCUGUCACACAUUGUAUGCAAAGCCUUCCCUCUGAAAGCCAGAUCCGGGCAACUGCUGUUGAGGUACAAAACCUUCUAGUUUCUGGUAGAAGAAAAGAGGCUCUCCAGUAUGCACAGGAUGGUCAGUUGUGGGGAGCUGCCCUUGUUCUUGCUGCUCAGCUUGGCGAGAAGUUCUAUGUUGAUACUGUGAAGAAAAUGGCUCAUCGCCAGUUUGUAUCAGGAUCACCUUUAAGAACAUUAUGCCUUCUUAUCGCUGGGCAACCUGCAGAUGUAUUUUCGGGAGAUAGCCCAACCAAUAGCACUUAUGGUGUGUUAAAUGCUCUACAACAGCCUAUGCAGAAUCAAACCAGUGGCAUGUUAGAUGACUGGGCAGAGAAUUUGGCUAUAAUAACUGCGAAUAGAACCAAGGAUGACGAACUUGUGAUGAUUCAUCUAGGAGAUUGCCUUUGGAAAGAGAGAGGGGAGGUAACUGCAGCGCACACCUGCUAUUUAGUUGCGGAAGCAAAUUUUGAGGCCUACUCUGAGAGUGCAAGGCUCUGCCUCGUUGGUGCAGAUCACUGGAAAUGUCCUCGAACAUUUGCGAGCCCUGAAUCUAUUCAGAGAACAGAGUUAUAUGAAUACUCCAAAGUGCUCGGCAAUUCUCAGUAUAUCCUUCUACCAUUCCAGCCAUACAAGCUAAUCUAUGCCCACAUGCUUGCCGAAGUGGGGAAGAUUUCUGAUUCAUUACGGUAUUGCCAAGCGUCUUUAAGGAUGCUAAAAUCAUCUGGCCGCGCUCCUGAAGUAGAAACAUUGAAAUCGUUAUUUUCAUCCCUUGAGGAGCGAAUACGUACCCACCAGCAGGGUGGAUACAACACAAACCUUGCCCCAGCUAAAUUCGUAGGGAAAAUCUUUACCUCAAUCGACAAGUCGAUCCAUCGCAUGAUUGGGGCGCCGCCUCCACCUCUUCCCCCAAUGCCUCAAGGCAGUGUGAGCAGUGUGAAUGAUAAAGAACGCUAUGCUGUGGCCCCACAGAAGUUUGUAAAUAGCCAAUCAGCGAUGGCGAUGUCAUCUCUGAUGCCAUCAGCAUCGGUCGAGUCGAUAAGUGAGUGGACUGGGGAUAAUAGCGGUGUUAGGAAGAGUAUGCACAAUAGAAGUGUUUCAGAGCCAGAUUUUGGUAGAAGCCCGAAACAGAAGGCAGGAUCGGUUGGUACACAAAGCAAAUCAGCCGAAUUGGGUAGUUCACGGUUCGGGAGGUUUGGCUCUACGCUUCUUCAGAAGACCAUGGGGUGGGUCUCCAGAUCCCACCGACAGGCGAAACUUGGUGAAAGUAACAAGUUCUACUAUGACGAAAAGCUGAAGAGGUGGGUGGAGGAAGGUGCUGAAACUCCAGCCGAGGAAGCUGCUCUACCACCUCCUCCCACCACAACCUCUUUCCAGAAUGGUAUGCCGGAUUAUAACACUAAUAUUAGCAGUCACCAUGCAGUAAAAAGCGAACUCCACACUGCUAAUGGAAUCCCUGAAGCAAAACCCCCGAAUCUGUCUGAAUUUAGUCCGGGAAUCCCACCAAUUCCGCCUAGCCAGAACCAGUUCUCAGCUCUCGGCAGAGCGGGUGUUCGGUCAAGAUAUGUGGAUACAUUUAACAAGGGCGGAGGUGGUGGAACUGCGACAAACCUUUUCCAAUCACCUCCUGCUGCUCCAUCUGUAAAGCCUGCAGUAAACGCUAAGUUCUUCAUUCCCUCCGCUCCUGUCACCGUUGACGAAAAGAAAACCAAACAACCCUUAGAAACCAGCCAAGAACCUCCCACCACCUCGGAAGAGCUGUCCACAUCAGCAGUAACUGAAGUCUCAUUCUCUUCGCCGCCAUCUGCUUCAUCAUCCUCACCAUCGAUGCAACGGUUUCCGAGCAUGGAUAACAUGACUCCUUACGGAAACAGAAGGCAAGGACCUGUGUCGGAGCGCGCGAAUGGCCCUAUAUCAAGAACUCGAGCUGCUUCUUGGAGCGGCAAUUUUGGGGACUCAUUCAACACCGUGAGCACGGAAAGUAAGCCUAACUCGUUGGAUGGACAAACUGUUCCGUCUUCGUUCAUGCCCGCCAAGUCUCUGCAGUUUAGUGGAAGCUCUUUGUCGGACGAUCUUCAUGAGGUGGAGCUCUAACAUUUGGCCAUCAUCAUUACGGGGAUGGCCGUGCUUAAUUAUCGGAGCCUCUCUCUCAUCCUCUGUCCCAAGAUCUCCCAAGAAAGUCAAAUGGGGCUCGAGUCAGGUCGUCCUUGCGGUUCACUAACCUUGCGUUGAGCUCCGUUGGUUCUUGCGGUUUUUUCGGAAUCUGGAAACCGAAGCUACAGGUUGAGACUUUGCGGCUUUUAGGGAAUCUGGAGAGACAAAGCCACAAGUUUAGAAUGUGGACUGUUUGAGUGUUUCUGGUUACUGAGCUUCGUUGUCGGUCUUGUUGUUGUUCGGAAAAGAAAAGCAAGGCAUUAUGUUGGUGUUGGGGGUUCAGCUUCUGCUUUUACUGCUGUAGGAAGCUGCUGAGCGAAUUGUAAUGUAGUUUUUUGUGUAAUUUUGAGGAACCAAACUUGAACGGUGUUGCAGCAGAUAUUUCAGCAGUUCCACAUCUGCAUCAGAAGUAGGGAAAGGUAUCUGUAUCUGAUAGAAGAACAAAGUCAAAAAAAAGGGUGCAAAAUGAAAAAGGGGUUGACUUGUCAAA